RNAcentral lists this ribosomal RNA (301 nucleotides) under uncultured bacterium. RNAcentral describes it as "partial 16S ribosomal RNA". It matches the Rfam family "Bacterial small subunit ribosomal RNA", at positions 509 to 807 of the family's 1533-position model. The record is from RNAcentral.
CAGUCGCCACGGGAAUACGUAGGGUGCGAGCGUUAAUCGGAAUUGCUGGGCGUAAAGCGUGCGCAGGCGGUUGUGUAAGACAGGUGUGAAAUCCCCGGGCUUAACCUGGGAACUGCGCUUGUGACUGCACAGCUAGAGUAUGGCAGAGGGGGGUGGAAUUCCACGUGUAGCAGUGAAAUGCGUAGAGAUGUGGAGGAACACCGAUGGCGAAGGCAGCCCCCUGGGCCAAUACCGACGCUCAUGCACGAAAGCGUGGGGAGCAAACAGGAUUAGAUACCCCCGUAGUCCCUGUCUCUUAUAC